RNAcentral lists this ribosomal RNA (301 nucleotides) under uncultured bacterium. RNAcentral describes it as "partial 16S ribosomal RNA". It matches the Rfam family "Bacterial small subunit ribosomal RNA", at positions 509 to 807 of the family's 1533-position model. The record is from RNAcentral.
CAGCCGCCGCGGGAAUACAGAGGGUGCGAGCGUUAAUCGGAUUUACUGGGCGUAAAGCGUGCGUAGGCGGCUUCUUAAGUCGGAUGUGAAAUCCCUGAGCUUAACUUAGGAAUUGCAUACGAUACUGGGAAGCUAGAGUAUGGGAGAGGAUGGUAGAAUUCCAGGUGUAGCGGUGAAAUGCGUAGAGAUCUGGAGGAAUACCGAUGGCGAAGGCAGCCAUCUGGCCUAAUACUGACGCUGAGGUACGAAAGCAUGGGGAGCAAACAGGAUUAGAUACCCCCGUAGUCCCUGUCUCUUAUAC